This 207-nucleotide long non-coding RNA is filed under the name Phoenix dactylifera (date palm). RNAcentral's name for it is "long non-coding RNA (PDAC_LNC009325)". The record is from RNAcentral. Lineage: Eukaryota; Viridiplantae; Streptophyta; Magnoliopsida; Arecales; Arecaceae.
GGUUCAAAGGAGGUAUGAGACAAAAAGAAUAUUAUGAAGAGGGUACGGAGCCGGAGGAGAGGCUUUAUCAUGCCCCACGGCAUGAUGGCCGAAGAGGUCAUGGGAAGAUAAGAAGGAGAAGGCCACAUGUAGGAAAAUAUGGUGAUGAAAAAGGGAGUCCAAGAGUUCAAGAUCUGGGGUUAAGAAAUCAAAAAUAGACUUUCUAAA